AAUAGUUCACUUCGGUGACCGUCGGCAGUGCUAUUGGUGACCUCAAUACGAUUAGGUGCACGUGCGUUUGAAAGGUCGAUGUCUAACUCAACAAAUAGAGGGGCGACGUCUGAAAACUCAUUGAAAUCGCAUGUUAUAAACUUUGUAUAUAAUGUGAAUAUAUCUGGGGUGGACAUCAAAUAGUCAAUAACACUGAAUACCCCUUGGACCGUUGUGGGUGAAGCCGCUGCUUUGGUUAUUCUGGUGUCUGCCUUUGACAAUCCGCAAACCUGUUGAUUUACAUAAAUGCACAAGCCUCGUUCCGCAUUCGUUGUGACCGUUAUCUGGGUUUACACGUGACUGAAGAGGAACAUCACUGUUAUAAACAAACACAGUGUUAGUUGCAUUCGCUAUGGUCGAGUGUAAAACGUCAGCGUCAAUGAAAUCAUCCAGUUGCUUGGUUCGACUGUUAAAAUCUCCUAUAACGAACACAUUUCAAAGAGGUUAAAACAAUCGGUUUACCUGGACUUUGUCGGGCACGCUGCUGCCCAGUUCUACUGUGACCCUGUUGCUGGCCAUGACUCCUGCUAUGUCCAUCCUCGUUAGAGUGGUUGAUAUUUGCAGCGAAUCCAGUUCUCAAGUCCUUCUUGUUGUCUAUCACUAUCAGCGGUUCUGAACAGUUGAGGUCGAACACUGCCCUCAGAAUGUUCCGCAGAUCACUGGCGAAGUUCGUCUGAAGCUGAUCGGCAACCCCUGAAACAUUAUUACAAUGGCUAUUACUAAUUCUUAUACACAAGAGCAGUUUCAAGGAAGGGGGCUGAGGGGACCUGCCCCCAAUAAAAAUUAAAGUUCC
Gigantopelta aegis is the source of this 832-nucleotide long non-coding RNA. RefSeq lists it as uncharacterized. The transcript is spliced from 2 exons. The record is from RefSeq and is a predicted model, not a curated record. Lineage: Eukaryota; Metazoa; Mollusca; Gastropoda; Neomphalida; Peltospiridae.